CUUUCUUGUCUUGAAUGCAUAACAUCCUUUGCAGAAAGACACACUUUCCAAUUAUUGUUUAUGUGAGAACUGAGAAUUACAUUUGAAAUUCUUAACAUAUGAUAACCCCUCAAUACGGAAACAAAUUUAAUUUUCUUCCCAAUUUUCCACCUGCUUAUUAACCCCCACCCCCAUGGCUUUUCCUGUUCUAACGCGUUGCCCUAUAUCUUAAGAGUUGAGAGUCUUCCAAGCAUGUAAAUUAAGUGUUUCCUAUGAUUUAACAAAAAUUAUCACCUAACCAAAUGCAGUGG
This 290-nucleotide unclassified non-coding RNA is filed under the name Hevea brasiliensis (rubber tree). Lineage: Eukaryota; Viridiplantae; Streptophyta; Magnoliopsida; Malpighiales; Euphorbiaceae. The record is from RNAcentral.